UACGAAGGGUGCAAGCGUUAAUCGGAAUUACUGGGCGUAAAGCGCGCGUAGGUGGUUUGAUAAGUUGGAUGUGAAAGCCCCGGGCUCAACCUGGGAAUUGCAUCCAAAACUGUCUGACUAGAGUACGGUAGAGGGUAGUGGAAUUUCCUGUGUAGCGGUGAAAUGCGUAGAUAUAGGAAGGAACACCAGUGGCGAAGGCGACUACCUGGACUGAUACUGACACUGAGGUGCGAAAGCGUGGGGAGCAAACAGG
RNAcentral lists this ribosomal RNA (253 nucleotides) under uncultured bacterium. RNAcentral's name for it is "partial 16S ribosomal RNA". It matches the Rfam family "Bacterial small subunit ribosomal RNA", at positions 524 to 776 of the family's 1533-position model. RNAcentral also lists the same sequence under 1 other name. The record is from RNAcentral.